Ictalurus punctatus (channel catfish) is the source of this 1479-nucleotide long non-coding RNA. NCBI's taxonomy places the organism in Eukaryota, Metazoa, Chordata, Actinopteri, Siluriformes, Ictaluridae. The record is from Ensembl.
CCUCCAUGUGGUAAUUCUGAUUCAGAAUUAUAGAAGCUUUCUGAGUCUGAUUCUGAUUCUGAUUCUUCAACUAAACUGCUGUGGCUUUCAUUUAAACUGUGAACGUGUACAUGCUGUAAAAUGGUCAAAUAGUUUAGUUUAUUGUAUAAUAUGUUAUUUAUUUAUUUAUUAUAUGAUGUUGAAUUGUAAUUGACAAGGGAGACAUGGUGGCUUAGUGGUUAGCACAUUUGCCCUGCAUCACCGGGGUUGGGGGUUUGAUAAGGUAUGGAAAAUGGAUGGAUGGAUGGGUGGAUGUAAUUGACAAACUGUUCCACCUAUUUCAGUUUGUUUAAAGCAACAGCAUGUAUAAUGUUGUAAUUCUACUCUCUCUGGUUCAUCUCGAUCUCUCUGUUCUAUGUCUAUGUCUGAUGGCCUUUUCAACAUCCCUGUCCACUUUUGAGUGGUUUGGUAGCCCAACUCUAAUGCUCUGCUUCGUCACUUAUGAAACCUACAUACUGGACUCUCUUGUUCCCCUGUUCCACUUGCUUGCCUCAUCACCAUGUAGUCAGAUUUCUUGUGCGCAUGAUGUGAUGAUGUUUGACGUGUCAAGGAUGGCUUAUGACGAAUAUGUAUAAAACUGCAAUCAAAUCUGCCCUGACAGAUCUGACUUAUUCUCUUAGACCACUACAAUAUCCUGCUCACUGGCUGAUUUCUCCCUACUGUUGAAAUAUUGCAUCUUUACAGAGAAGAAGAGUUUUCUGCCUCUUGGAGAUUUGUCUGCCUGGAUCUUAAUAAAAAUCUCCACCAGCAUUUGCAUCUUUCUGCCCAUUUCGCUCAUGUGACAGCCGAUGUGGCUGCACGUUUUAAUUCCAGCCUUUCAGGAGGCACACGUGAUAAUUGACUGGAGGCCAUGAUGAACUCAUUAAACAAGUGAAAUCAAAUCUGCUUGUUUGGAAUGAAAUCCUACAGUCAUACUGGCCCUUUGUUGAUACAACUGAAGACCCCUGAUGUAAAGUAUGAAUAGAGCAGUGAUUCUGGGAUUUUGAAAGUCAAGUAGUGUGGCCUAGGCAUUUGUAAUGUUUUAAACAAAAAACUUUGCCUGCUGAUUAGAUAUAUGUUGUGUGAGAGGUCACAGAGUCCAGUGUGUGCAUGUAUUUGUGUUCUUGGCCCAUAGAGUGCUGUAAUAGUAUGUAUUUGUGCAGUAAUAACAUCCUCACAUUGUGUGGCGUGAACCACGCCUAGGGCACACUACAUGACUUUGCCAAGGGUGAAAAGUGGAUUAUUUAUAAAGACAAUAUGCAAAGAUUCUUUCUUCUGAACAUUUCUGGGCACUAAAUUAAAUAUUAAUUUAAAAUUAAUAAAAAAUUGUCAUUACCAGUCAGGUCUAGUCCAAAUUAUUAUUUAUGAGUUUAAUUAUUAUAAUUGUUUGUCAGUCAUUUCAAAUAAACUGCUCAAUAAUAAAUUAAAAUUUUAAUUGAUCAGUAUUGUUUUGCUCAUUCC